GACGAACGCUGUUGGCGUGCUUAACACAUGCAAGUCGAACGGAAAGGCCCUGCUUUUGUGGGGUGCUCGAGUGGCGAACGGGUGAGUAACACGUGAGUAACCUGCCCUUGACUUUGGGAUAACUUCAGGAAACUGGGGCUAAUACCGGAUAGGAGCUCCUGCUGCAUGGUGGGGGUUGGAAAGUUUCGGCGGUUGGGGAUGGACUCGCGGCUUAUCAGCUUGUUGGUGGGGUAGUGGCUUACCAAGGCUUUGACGGGUAGCCGGCCUGAGAGGGUGACCGGCCACAUUGGGACUGAGAUACGGCCCAGACUCCUACGGGAGGCAGCAGUGGGGAAUAUUGCACAAUGGGCGGAAGCCUGAUGCAGCAACGCCGCGUGCGGGAUGACGGCCUUCGGGUUGUAAACCGCUUUCGCCUGUGACGAAGCGUGAGUGACGGUAAUGGGUAAAGAAGCACCGGCUAACUACGUGCCAGCAGCCGCGGUGAUACGUAGGGUGCGAGCGUUGUCCGGAUUUAUUGGGCGUAAAGGGCUCGUAGGUGGUUGAUCGCGUCGGAAGUGUAAUCUUGGGGCUUAACCCUGAGCGUGCUUUCGAUACGGGUUGACUUGAGGAAGGUAGGGGAGAAUGGAAUUCCCUGGUGGAGCGGUGGAAUGCGCAGAUAUCAGGAGGAACACCAGUGGCGAAGGCGGUUCUCUGGGCCUUUCCUGACGCUGAGGAGCGAAAGCGUGGGGAGCGAACAGGCUUAGAUACCCUGGUAGUCCACGCUGUAAACGGUGGGUACUAGGUGUGGGGUCCAUUCCACGGGUUCCGUGCCGUAGCUAACGCUUUAAGUACCCCGCCUGGGGAGUACGGCCGCAAGGCUAAAACUCAAAGGAAUUGACGGGGCCCCGCACAAGCGGCGGAGCAUGCGGAUUAAUUCGAUGCAACGCGUAGAACCUUACCUGGGUUUGACAUGGAUCGGGAGUGCCCAGAGAUGGGUGUGCCUCUUUUGGGGUCGGUUCACAGGUGGUGCAUGCCUGUCGUCAGCUCGUGUCGUGAGAUGUUGGGUUAAGUCCCGCAACGAGCGCAACCCUUGUUCACUGUUGCCAGCACGUUAUGGUGGGGACUCAGUGGAGACCGCCGGGGUCAACUCGGAGGAAGGUGGGGAUGACGUCAAGUCAUCAUGCCCCUUAUGUCCAGGGCUUCACGCAUGCUACAAUGGCUGGUACAGAGAGUGGCGAGCCUGUGAGGGUGAGCGAAUCUCGGAAAGCCGGUCUCAGUUCGGAUUGGGGUCUGCAACUCGACCUCAUGAAGUCGGAGUCGCUAGUAAUCGCAGAUCAGCAACGCUGCGGUGAAUACGUUCCCGGGGCU
This 1347-nucleotide ribosomal RNA is filed under the name uncultured bacterium. RNAcentral describes it as "bacterial SSU rRNA". It matches the Rfam family "Bacterial small subunit ribosomal RNA", at positions 28 to 1381 of the family's 1533-position model. The record is from RNAcentral.